RNAcentral lists this ribosomal RNA (2094 nucleotides) under Dendromunna sp. 2 MR-2008. Its description in RNAcentral is "SSU rRNA". It matches the Rfam family "Eukaryotic small subunit ribosomal RNA". Lineage: Eukaryota; Metazoa; Arthropoda; Malacostraca; Isopoda; Dendrotionidae. The record is from RNAcentral.
GUGUCCUGCCAGUUGUCAUAUGCUUGUCUCAAAGAUUAAGCCAUGCAUGUCUGAGUACAGACUGAUCUAAAGUGAAACCGCAAAUGGCUCAUUAAAUCAGUCGUAAUUCCUUGGAUAGUGACAAAGCUUCCUUGGAUAACUGUGGAAAAUCCAGAGCUAAUACAUGCAACUGAGCUGCGACCUCGACGCGAGUCGAGGGAGGAGCGCAUUUAUUAGAUUCAAAAUCGACCGUGGUACUCCUUCGGGAUGCCACGCUUGUCAAAUUUGAUGACUCCGGAUAACUAAGCCGAGCGCUACGGUCUUUGCACCGGCGCCGUAUCUUUCAAGUGUCUGCCUUAUCAGCUUUCGAUUGUAGGUUAAACGCCUACAAUGGCUGUAACGGGUAACGGGGAAUCAGGGUUCGAUUCCGGAGAGGGAGCCUGAGAAACGGCUACCACAUCUAAGGAAGGCAGCAGGCACGCAAAUUACCCACUCCCAGCUCGGGGAGGUAGUGACGAAAAAUAACGAUGUGAGACUCUUCCGAGGCCUCACAAUCGGAAUGAGUUCAUUCUAAAUACUUGGACGAGGAUCCAAUGGAGGGCAAGUCUGGUGCCAGCAGCCGCGGUAAUUCCAGCUCCAUGAGCAUAUACGAAUACUGCUUCGGUUAAAAAGCUCGUAGUUGGAUCUCUUAGAUCCAACUUGUGCGUCGGGUGGCUCGAUAGGCGCCCUUGCGUCUCGCUUAACGAGGUCUUUGUAUAACCAUGCGUUGUUCCGCUCGUCCUUCGGGUCGUGUGGGCGCGUAUGCGUGGCAGGACUGAGUUUCGUCUUGUCGCUCGUGGUGGCCGUCGGGUAUAGCUCGUGUGCUAGUGGCAAAUUACGAACCGUCGGCUCGCUCGGAGUGCUCUUUACCGAGUGUUCCAGGGCGGCUGACACGUUCACUUUGAAAAAAUUAGAGUGCUCAAAGCAGGCUCAAUUGUAGCCUGAAUGUUGUUGCAUGGAAUGAAGGAAGAUGACCUCGAUUCUGUCGUUUUGGUCGAUUUUGUGGAGUCGAGGUAAUGAUUAAAAGGAACAGACGGUGGCAUUAGUAUUGCGACGCUAGAGGUGAAAUUCUUGGACCGUCGCAAGACUGACUACUGCGAAAGCAUUUGCCGAGAAUGUAUCCAUUAAUCAAGAACGAAAGUUAGAGGAUCGAAGGCGAUCAGAUACCGCCCUAGUUCUAACCCUAAACUAUGCUAACUAGCGAUCCGUCGAAGUCAUUCCCACGACUCGACGGGAAGCCCCAGGGAAACCAAAGUCUUUGAGUUCCGGGGGAAGUAUGGUUGCAAAGCUGAAACUUAAAGGAAUUGACGGAAGGGCACCACCAGGAGUGGAGCCUGCGGCUUAAUUUGACUCAACACGGGAAACCUCACCAGGCCCGGACAUUAUAAGGAUUGACAGAUUAAGAGCUCUUUCUCGAUUUAAUGGGUGGUGGUGCAUGGCCGUUCUUAGUUGGUGGAGUGAUCUGUCUGGUUGAUUCCGAUAACGAACGAGACUCUACCCUGCUAAAUAGUCGACGGAUCGUAACCCUUGAUGGGCGAGCCGAGAUGGCGCGUGCUUCUGAGGGACUUUGUUCAUUCACGAUCCUUCGGAUUCGGUUUGUCAAAGGCUCCUUGCUGUGCGUCGUUGUUAGAGUGAGCGUUACUGGGGGCGUCCGUCGCAAUAUAUCUUCUUAGAGGGAUCAGUGGCGUCUAGUCACACGAGAUAGAGCAAUAACAGGUCUGUGAUGCCCUUAGAUGUUCUGGGCCGCACGCGCGCUACAAUGUAGGGCUCAACGUGCUUUCCCUCUCCGAAAGGAGCGGGUAACCCGUGGAAACCCCUACCCGAUUGGGAUUGGGGAUUGCAAAUGUUUCCCAUAAACGAGGAAUUCCCAGUAAGCGCGAAUCAUAAAUUCGCGCUGAUUACGUCCCUGCCCUUUGUACACACCGCCCGUCGCUACUACCGAUUGAAUGAUUCAGUGAGGGCAUCGGACUGGCGCCUUCGGUGGUGAAAUAUACACCUUAGGCUGACGGAAAGAUGUCCAAACUCGAUCAUUUAGAGGAAGUAAAAGUCGUAACAAGGUUUCCGUAGGUGAACCUG